AACGAACGCUGGCGGCAUGCCUAACACAUGCAAGUCGAACGAAACCUUCGGGUCUAGUGGCGCACGGGUGCGUAACGCGUGGGAACCUGCCCUUAGGUUCGGAAUAACUCCCCGAAAGGGGUGCUAAUACCGGAUAAUGUCUUCGGACCAAAGAUUUAUCGCCUUUGGAUGGGCCCUCGUUGGAUUAGCUUGUUGGUAGGGUAAAAGCCUACCAAGGCGACGAUCCAUAGAUGGUUUGAGAGGAUGAUCAGCCACACUGGGACUGAGACACGGCCCAGACUCCUACGGGAGGCAGCAGUGGGGAAUAUUGGACAAUGGGCGAAAGCCUGAUCCAGCAAUGCCGCGUGAGUGAUGAAGGCAUUAGGGUUGUAAAGCUCUUUUACCCGGGAUGAUAAUGACAGUACCGGGAGAAUAAGCCCCGGCUAACUCCGUG
RNAcentral lists this ribosomal RNA (433 nucleotides) under uncultured bacterium. Its description in RNAcentral is "partial 16S ribosomal RNA". It matches the Rfam family "Bacterial small subunit ribosomal RNA", at positions 29 to 507 of the family's 1533-position model. The record is from RNAcentral.